Molecule: ribosomal RNA, 468 nt
Filed under: uncultured bacterium
Lineage: Bacteria
Description: partial 16S ribosomal RNA
Rfam family: Bacterial small subunit ribosomal RNA
Source: RNAcentral
GACGAACGCUGGCGGCGUGCUUAACACAUGCAAGUCGAACGGACAGGCCCUGCUUUUGUGGGUUGCUCGAUUGGCGCACGGGUGUGUAACACGUGAGUAACCUGCCCUUGACUUUGGGAUAACUUUUGGAAACUGCGGCUCAUACCGGAUAGGAGCUCCUGCUGCAUAGUGGGGGUUGGAAAAAUUCGGCGGUUGGGGCUGGACUCGCGGCUUAUCAGCUUGUUGGGGGGGUAGGGGCUUACCAGGGCUUAGAGGGGUAGCCGGCCUGAGAGGGUGACCGGGCACAAGGGGACUGAGAGACGGCGCAGACUCGUACGGGAGGCAGCAGGGGAGAGUAUUGCACAAUGGGCGGAAGCCUGAUGUAGCAACGCCGCGUGCGUGAUGACGGCCUACGGGGUGUAAACCGCUUUCGCCGGAAACGAAGCGUGAGUGACGGUAAUGGGUAAAGAAGCAACGGCUAACUACGUG